UACGGAGGGUGCAAGCGUUGCUCGGAAUCACUGGGCGUAAAGCGUCCGCAGGCGGCUUGGUAAGUCGGGUGUGAAAGCCCGGGGCUCAACCCCGGAACUGCAUUCGAAACUGCCUGGCUUGAGUACGGGAGAGGGUGGCGGAAUUCCUGGUGUAGAGGUGAAAUUCGUAGAUAUCAGGAGGAACAUCAGUGGCGAAAGCGGCCACCUGGCCCGAUACUGACGCUCAUGGACGAAAGCGUGGGGAGCAAACAGG
This 253-nucleotide ribosomal RNA is filed under the name uncultured bacterium. RNAcentral's name for it is "partial 16S ribosomal RNA". It matches the Rfam family "Bacterial small subunit ribosomal RNA", at positions 524 to 776 of the family's 1533-position model. The record is from RNAcentral.